GAUGAAGAACGUAGCGAAAUGCGAAAAGUAGUGUGAAUUGCAGAAUUCAGUGAAUCAUCGAAUCUUUGAACGCACAUUGCACCUCUCGGUAUUCCGGGAGGUAUGCCUGUUCGAGCGUCAUUUGUACCCUCAAGCUCUGCUUGGUGUUGGGUGUUUGUUCCGCCUCUGUGUGUGAACUCGCCUCAAAACAAUUGGCAGCCGGCGUACUUGUUUCGGAGCGCAGCACAUUUUGCGAUCCAGAUCAACGUACAGCGGCAUCCAAGAAGCCUUAUUUAACGCUCUUGACCUCGGAUCAGGUAGGGAUACCCGCUGAACUUAAGCAUAUCAAUAAGCGGAGGA
This 339-nucleotide unclassified non-coding RNA is filed under the name soil metagenome. RNAcentral describes it as "partial contains 5.8S ribosomal RNA, internal transcribed spacer 2, and large subunit ribosomal RNA". The stretch from base 1 to 120 matches the Rfam family "5.8S ribosomal RNA", at positions 35 to 154 of the family's 154-position model. The record is from RNAcentral.